This 441-nucleotide ribosomal RNA is filed under the name uncultured bacterium. Its description in RNAcentral is "partial 16S ribosomal RNA". It matches the Rfam family "Bacterial small subunit ribosomal RNA", at positions 28 to 507 of the family's 1533-position model. The record is from RNAcentral.
GAUGAACGCUGGCGGCGUGCCUAAUACAUGCAAGUCGAACGGGGAGUAGCAAUACUCUUAGUGGCGAACGGGUGAGUAACGCGUUGGUACCUGCCCCGAAGCGGGGGAUAACGGACCGAAAGGUCCGCUAAUACCCCAUGUGCUCGGUAACGAGUAAAGGUGAAAACCACUUUGGGAGGGGCAUGCGUCCCAUCAGCUAGUUGGUAAGGUAACGGCUUACCAAGGCGAUGACGGGUAGGGGACCUGAGAGGGUGGCCCCCCACAAUGGAGCUGAAACACGGUCCAUACACCUACGGGUAGCAGCAGUAGGGAAUAUUGGUAAUGGGCGCAAGCCUGAACCAGCAACGCCGCGUGUGCGAUGACGGCCUUCGGGUUGUAAAGCACUUUUGACUGGGACGAGGAAGGACGGUACCGGUCGAAUCAGCCUCGGCUAACUACGUG